AUUGAACGCUGGCGGCAUGCCUUACACAUGCAAGUCGAACGGUAACGGGUCCUUCGGGAUGCCGACGAGUGGCGAACGGGUGAGUAAUAUAUCGGAACGUGCCCAGUAGUGGGGGAUAACUGCUCGAAAGAGCAGCUAAUACCGCAUACGACCUGAGGGUGAAAGGGGGGGAUCGCAAGACCUCUCGCUAUUGGAGCGGCCGAUAUCAGAUUAGCUAGUUGGUGGGGUAAAGGCAUACCAAGGAAACGAUCUGUAGUUGGUCUGAGAGGACGACCAGCCACACUGGGAAUGAGACACGGCCCAGACUCCUACGGGAGGCAGCAGUGGGGAAUUUUGGACAAUGGGCGCAAGCCUGAUCCAGCAAUGCCGCGUGCAGGAAGAAGGCCUUCGGGUUGUAAACUGCUUUUGUCAGGGAAGAAAUCUUCUGGGCUAAUACCCCGGGAGGAUGACGGUACCUGAAGAAUAAGCACCGGCUAACUACGUGCCAGCAGCCGCGGUAA
This 500-nucleotide ribosomal RNA is filed under the name uncultured bacterium. Its description in RNAcentral is "partial 16S ribosomal RNA". It matches the Rfam family "Bacterial small subunit ribosomal RNA", at positions 30 to 523 of the family's 1533-position model. The record is from RNAcentral.